GGUAUGGCAUGAACUGCCUCAUUCAGUUUGAGGAUUUUGCUAAUGCUAAUGCAUUCCGCCUGCUGAAUAAGUACCGUAACAAAUACUGCACUUUCAACGAUGACAUUCAAGGAACUGGAUCUGGGCUGU
Non-coding RNA from Tinamus guttatus (white-throated tinamou), 129 nucleotides. NCBI's taxonomy places the organism in Eukaryota, Metazoa, Chordata, Aves, Tinamiformes, Tinamidae. The record is from RefSeq and is a predicted model, not a curated record.